GACGGUUACCUUUGAAAUCAAUAUCAUCCGUUCGAUCAUGCUGAGAUUAAAUCUAGGCCGUAUAAACUCUUCAUUUUAACCGCUGUCUUGAUAGUUCUGAGCGGUUACUUGCAGCUAGCAUGUUUUUCUGUCCAUGUUCCUACAUAACUGAAGAGGUGGUUUUGACGAGUGGAUUCAAAUGAGGUAAUUGUAGGCGACGUGGGGAAAUAACUCACAAAAAAACUGCUAUGGUGGCGGUUGUGAGCGGUUUCUUGCAGUUUCCAUAGCUGGUGGUUAUCUCCAUCUUUCUCUGCCCACGUCGUCGAUAACCUCAUAUACAUUUCCUUCAAAUACCCUUCCUUUUGUAGCAGAUCUGAUAUAUGCACACAGUUGAGCUUUCUUCUAUCCCGAUCUCAAACUUCAGUCAAGCAUUAUUCCAUCGCAAUCUGAUUUCUCCUCAAAUUCCUAUCCCUUUUCUCCAUUCAUCAAAUAUAUGUCUAAGCUCAGCAAAACCACCACAAAUGGCGUUAUCCUGCAGCGGCUUAACCUUCAAGCUCCAUGUUCUAGAGUGGUCAGGUAUGUUCUCUGUUUAUGAUUUUCAUUUUAGACGAUUUUUGUUUUAUUUUGGAUUAAUUAUAUAAGAUUUGAUUUAUCAUUAGUUCAUGCACAUAGAUUGUGUGCAGAGAUGGUGUGAUGAGAAAGGGAACACUAAUUGCGAAAUCUGUCUAUAUGUUAUAUGUUAGGUUAAUACAUCUAUUCAUGUUCGUUUUCUUCAGUUAUUGAUUUAAUUUCCAAUUUCAUGAUCGUGGAAGGAUCGGAUAUGAAACCAGCAGACCUAAAUGGUGAGUUUACUUCAAAAAUGGCAAUAAUUUUCCAAAUUGUUUAGUCGAUAUGUUGGCUAAUCAUUACAUGAAAGGCCAAUUAGGUGCCGGCAAGUUCAGGACCAAGAUACAGUCCAAAAUGGUUUGAAUAAUCCAAAAUUCCUAUUGCUUCAUGGGAUUCACAUAAUUUUCUUGAAAUUGGAGUCUGUGAUAAAUAUUACCUUUUGACGGCCCCAUCGGGGAUUUUUGUGCAAUGUUUAAUCAUCUUAGAGAGGGCCAGAGACAUGACAUGUGGUUGCCUAUUCAGAACAUAAAAAUUUAAAGAUUGCAUCUUGCAGUUAGAGUUAUUGAAGCUGGUGAAAAAGUAUUUGAACAACCGUGUGAUGGUGAUGCACCAAGUGAAUUCCAGAAAAAAGACAGUUCAUGUAAAUCUCUUGAAAAUUCUAAAGAAAUAAAGCAAAUCAUCUAGAACCGAUUAAUGUCGAACGGCAAAGAGAGACUAGCAUAUGGGUUCACUUCCCGGAUGCUGAUGUAGCACAAGUCUGGUUUGGGAGCCUAGAAAGAGGAAGAACCACGUGGUCCAUAAUGAUAGUGAGUAAGUGAAUGGUAACAUUCAAUCUGAUCCGUUCCUUUAGUUUGUAUGCAACUUGGUACUCUUUUAUGGAGAUAUUGGGAUUACCCGUUUUGACCCAGGUACACAUCCAUAUCAAAUGAUUCAGAAAGAGUCUAUAAACCUUUUAAAUUAUUCUAUUUAAAACAAUCUUGCAAUUAUAUUUAACACACCAACAAAUUAUAAUAGAUUUUUUAAUCCUGGCCCAAAAGUCUUCGUUGACCUGACCUGUUUUCUACUCAUCAAACUAAAUUGGCAGAGUUUUGACCCGAAAGUAACCACCUCUACUAAUCUUUUUAUCUAUUCAUCACUAAAUUUUUGUUGAAAGUGACCCUUUAAUUGAAAUCUGAAUGCAUAUUAAUGAUUAGUUACAGUUGCUCUUUGUAGAGUAUUUACUAAUGGAUUGAUGUCACUCAUGGAAUUGAUUAAUGGUUGAUAGCUCUUAAAAGGUGCAUAUCUAAAUAUAAAUCGAAGGAUAUGGACUCGAUAGACAUGCCGGUUGGUGGAUAUAAAGAUUUGGACUCAUCAAAGAGACUCAAUACUCUUAGUUUUCUUCUGAUGAAGUUCUUGGAACUGAGUAAGAUUAUUAUACAUACUUUUAAGAAGUUAAAAGCUUUUAUAUUAAGUUAUUUUUACUUAGUAAUUUAAUACUUGAAAAAUUUAAUAAAAAAAAUAAGAAAUUGGAUUGAUGAUCAAAAUACUAAGUUUUUUUGACAAGAGAAAGGAAGCAGAGGAUAAACUUUCUGUUGCAACAGGUAAUGUAUAAACUUUACUUUUGUUUUAUUCAUUUUAUGUGUUGAUGUUAUUAUUAAUUACCUUUUGAAUUUAGGGACAAAAGUUGGAAACAGAAAAGGUGGCAUAAAUUAUAGGUGGAAAAGGUGGCUGAUGGCAUAAUCAAACCUUUUAUAGGAGGGAGGCGACGUUGGUUAAAGACAACAACAAGAGUAUUCCAGGCUCUAAGAAUAGUUGUUAAUGAUGAACUAAAGAUGCUAGAGUCUUCUUUGUAUGAUUGCUACUGAAGUGUUACACCUGGCGAGAGGCUUGCAGUCAUGUCGACUCACAUUCUAGAGGACAAAAUAAAAAAACAAACAUUUCCCAACAUCAUUAACACCAGUUUAGUUUGGUUGACGAAAACAAAAAUGUUAAUUCUGAAAAUGACGAUGACAAAGAAACAUGUGUCAAACAGGUGAUCCAUGGGGUUGGUGUAGUAAUCCUCACAAAGAGACCCGUUACGCCUUCUAAAGCUGAAGAGAAACUGAAUGUUCGUUGUAGUAGUGCCAAACUCCGGGUAAUACAAAGACACCGAAGUAAAAUCAGAGGGUUAGAUUAGGAAUGGAUUAUAAAUCUUUAUGUCUCUCAUUUGGUAGCUUAGAUGAUGCCAUCAAUUUCAGAUGUCAAUUUACAGUUGGUAACUUGGAUGCUUCUAUCCAAAUGCUUUGGGUGGUCUUGUACUUUCAUAUGCAAUUUCAAUAUCUCUAUAUGCAUUAGCAGUUAAUGUAGGCAAAGACUUCUGUAUUUACGUUUUACUUUCUACCUUGAAACAUGAAAGUGUUAACGACUGUCAA
Helianthus annuus (common sunflower) is the source of this 2975-nucleotide long non-coding RNA. RefSeq lists it as uncharacterized. NCBI's taxonomy places the organism in Eukaryota, Viridiplantae, Streptophyta, Magnoliopsida, Asterales, Asteraceae. The transcript is spliced from 5 exons. The record is from RefSeq and is a predicted model, not a curated record.